GAUGAACGCUGGCGGCGUGCCUAAUACAUGCAAGUCGAGCGGACAGACGCCGUCCUUUCCCGUCGGGCGGUAGCCGCGGACGGGAUAGAAACACGUGUAUAACCUCCCUGUAGGACUGGGGUCACUUGGUGAAACCGUAGCUCAUACCAGAUACUAUAUUGAGCCGCAGGGUUCAAUAGUUUACGACGGCUUUGCUGCCACUUGUAGAUGGAUCCGUGGCGCAUUAGCUAGUUGGUAAGGUAACGGCUUACCAAGGCGACGAUGCGUAGCAGACCUGAGAGGAUGAUCGGCCACACUGGAACUGAGACACGGCCCAGACUCCUACGGGAGGCAGCAGUGGGGAAUCUUCGACAAUGGGCGAAAGCCUGACGCAGCAAUGCCGCGUGCGGGAUGAAGGUCUUCGGGUCGUAAACUUCUGUUAUUAGGAAAGAACAGCUGUGUUAGAAACCAGGCGCGUCAUGACGGUACCGAAAGAGUAAGCAACGGCUAACUACGUG
RNAcentral lists this ribosomal RNA (497 nucleotides) under uncultured bacterium. RNAcentral's name for it is "partial 16S ribosomal RNA". It matches the Rfam family "Bacterial small subunit ribosomal RNA", at positions 28 to 507 of the family's 1533-position model. The record is from RNAcentral.